AAGGCCUUAGUUUAAUAAAAAUGUCUGAUUUGCAAUCAGGAGAUGUGAGUUAGUUUCUCGUAGGUCUUA
RNAcentral lists this transfer RNA (69 nucleotides) under Probarbus jullieni (Jullien's golden carp). RNAcentral's name for it is "tRNA-Ala". It matches the Rfam family "tRNA". Rfam says of the family: Transfer RNA (tRNA) molecules are approximately 80 nucleotides in length. Their secondary structure includes four short double-helical elements and three loops (D, anti-codon, and T loops). Lineage: Eukaryota; Metazoa; Chordata; Actinopteri; Cypriniformes; Cyprinidae. The record is from RNAcentral.